Molecule: ribosomal RNA, 257 nt
Filed under: uncultured bacterium
Lineage: Bacteria
Description: partial 16S ribosomal RNA
Rfam family: Bacterial small subunit ribosomal RNA
Source: RNAcentral
CGGACGGGUGAGUAACGCGUGGGUAACCUGCCUUAUACAGGGGGAGUAACAGUUAGAAAUGACUGCUAAUACCGCAUAAGCGCACAGGAUUGCAUGAUCUGGUGUGAAAAACUACCGGUGGUAUAAGAUGGACCCGCGUCUGAUUAGCCAGUUGGCAGGGUAACGGCCUACCAAAGCGACGAUCAGUAGCCGGCCUGAGAGGGUGAACGGCCACAUUGGGACUGAGACACGGCCCAAACUCCUACGGAGGCAGCAUG